AACGAACGCUGGCGGCAGGCCUAAAACAUGCAAGUCGAACGAACCUUCGGGUUAGUGGCGCACGGGUGAGUAACACGUGGGAAUGUGCCUCUGGGUGCGGAACAACGUCGGGAAACUGACGCUAAUACCGCAUAAUGUCUACGGACCAAAGAUUUAUUGCCCAGAGAUCAGCCCGCGUCUGAUUAGCUAGUUGGUGAGGUAACGGCUCACCAAGGCGACGAUCAGUAGCUGGUCUGAGAGGAUGAUCAGCCACACUGGAGCUGAGACACGGUCCAGACUCCUACGGGAGGCAGCAGUUAGGAAUAUUGGACAAUGUGGGCAACCCUGAUCCAGCCAUGCCGCGUGUGUGAAGAAGGCCUUAGGGUUGUAAAGCACUUUCGGCUGUGAAGAUAAUGACAGUAGCAGAAGAAGAAGCUCCGGCUAAAUUCGUGACAGCAGCCGCAGUAA
Molecule: ribosomal RNA, 447 nt
Filed under: uncultured bacterium
Lineage: Bacteria
Description: partial 16S ribosomal RNA
Rfam family: Bacterial small subunit ribosomal RNA
Source: RNAcentral